Molecule: small nucleolar RNA, 77 nt
Filed under: Carlito syrichta (Philippine tarsier)
Lineage: Eukaryota; Metazoa; Chordata; Mammalia; Primates; Tarsiidae
Description: Small nucleolar RNA SNORD116 (ENSTSYG00000023766.2)
Rfam family: Small nucleolar RNA SNORD116
About the family: HBII-85 is a member of the C/D class of snoRNAs, which contain the C (UGAUGA) and D (CUGA) box motifs. HBII-85 is encoded in a tandemly repeated array with another C/D snoRNA, HBII-52, in the Prader-Willi syndrome (PWS) region of chromosome 15.
Source: Rfam by way of RNAcentral
AGAUCAAUGAUGACUUCCAAAUAUAUACUCCUUGGAAACCUGGACAAAAUGAGUGAACAUUCAUCAAACUGAGGUCC